AGUGCCCUUGGAGACCUUGUGCUGCUUUCAGGGUUUGCUGGGAGGCAGCGGCUUGUCGUCCUCGCCCUUCAGGUGCUGCUUGUACAGGAGGACCAGCCUGCGGGGUGCGAGUCACAGCGCUGAGCCCCAGCCCCACUAAACCCCUUGGAGGGGGGAAACGGAGGCACUUGGUGCCUCUCCCCCCCACACCGCCACCCCUCGUAGUGCUGCUGGGUCCACACUUGCCCACACUGGUGCUGCUGGGGCUGCUGCCCAGCUCACCGUACAGGUUCUUCUACAGCCAUCUCCCUGUUACCUGCGGAGGCAGACGGUGUGAAGAUGGAUGAACCCUCCCCAAACCUGGAGCACAGAGCCAUGGGAUGGGGGACGCUGCCUGCUUACCAGCUCGUAGGCUCCAAGCUUCUCCAUGCUUUGUAAAUCUUGCACAGGUUAACUGGAAAGAAGGAAGGAGUCAGGGAGAUGCGGUGCACACCAGCUCUUUGUCCCAAAGGCUCCUCCAUCCCCAGAACAUCCUCCGUCCUAGAAGCCCCUGCCAGUCCGGUGCUCUUUAACAUCUUUGUCAGUGACAUCGGUGACGGAAUGGAGUGCACCCUCAGCAAUUUGCUGACGACACCAAGCUGAGUGGUGCGGUUGCCGCAGUAGAAGGAAGGGAUGCCGUUCAGAGGGACCUCGACAGGCUGGAAAGUUCCACCUCAUGAGCACCUUUCCUACAGCUGGGGAAAAGGCUGGCAAACAAACAGCACAAAGACCACACCUUGGUUCUUGAGAGUCACAGCACUGUGUUUAUUGCAGGGAGUG
Tympanuchus pallidicinctus (lesser prairie-chicken) is the source of this 798-nucleotide long non-coding RNA. RefSeq lists it as uncharacterized. The transcript has 3 exons. The record is from RefSeq and is a predicted model, not a curated record. Lineage: Eukaryota; Metazoa; Chordata; Aves; Galliformes; Phasianidae.